RNAcentral lists this ribosomal RNA (399 nucleotides) under Triticum aestivum (bread wheat). RNAcentral's name for it is "partial small subunit ribosomal RNA". Lineage: Eukaryota; Viridiplantae; Streptophyta; Magnoliopsida; Poales; Poaceae. The record is from RNAcentral.
AUGCCACCAAAUCAUUUUCCUUCAAUGAAACCACCUUGUCCGGCCAGAGCGCUUUCCCAAGUCCUUAAUCCUCCUAUAUAUAUGCGCGCGCCGUUGCUGCAGGAUUCCACAAACCAACCGGUGCAAAACAAACACCACAUCCACCUCACCUUUGCUACCUUGCACAAGCGAAGAAGAAGAAGAAGAAGAAGAAGAAGAAGAAGGAGGAGGAGGAGGAGGAGUAGGAGGAGGAGGGGAGGAGGCGUCAUGGACAAGUCAGGUCCAAAGGUUCCAGGUACAACGGUUCCCCCUAACAGGCCAACGCAACCGUCAACCAAUAAGCCGGGGGCACAACGAAGGAAUCCUAAGAAGGGGCGUAACCGUAGGAUAAACGUGAGGCUGACUCAGAAAAAGAGAUGA